AUUGAACGCUGGCGGCAGGCCUAACACAUGCAAGUCGAACGGUAACAGGAAGAAGCUUGCUUCUUUGCUGACGAGUGGCGGACGGGUGAGUAAUGUCUGGGAAACUGCCUGAUGGAGGGGGAUAACUACUGGAAACGGUAGCUAAUACCGCAUAACGUCGCAAGACCAAAAAGGGGGACCUUCGGGCCUCUUGCCAUCGGAUGUGCCCAGAUGGGAUUAGCUAGUAGGUGGGGUAACGGCUCACCUAGGCGACGAUCCCUAGCUGGUCUGAGAGGAUGACCAGCCACACUGGAACUGAGACCCGGUCCAAACCCCUACGGGAGGCAGCAGGGGGGAAAUUUGCACAAUGGGCGCAAGCCUGAUGCAGCCAUGCCGGGUGUAUGAAGAAGGCCUUCGGGUUGUAAAGUACUUUAAGGGGGGAGGAAGGGAGUAAAGUUAAUACCUUUGCUCAUUGACGUUACCCGCAAAAGAAGCACCGGCUAACUCCGU
This 489-nucleotide ribosomal RNA is filed under the name uncultured bacterium. RNAcentral describes it as "partial 16S ribosomal RNA". It matches the Rfam family "Bacterial small subunit ribosomal RNA", at positions 30 to 506 of the family's 1533-position model. The record is from RNAcentral.